Molecule: non-coding RNA, 643 nt
Filed under: Clostridium tepidum
Lineage: Bacteria; Bacillati; Bacillota; Clostridia; Eubacteriales; Clostridiaceae
Description: bacterial LSU rRNA
Rfam family: Bacterial large subunit ribosomal RNA
Source: RNAcentral
CCCUACCAUAGAAGGUAAUAGUCCUGUAGAUGAAAAGAGAAAACUUCGAGAUCUAAUCCAGAGUACCACGAGACACGUGAAACCUUGUGGGAAGCAGGGAGGACCACCUCCCAAGGCUAAAUACUACCUAGUGACCGAUAGUGAAGCAGUACCGUGAGGGAAAGGUGAAAAGAACCCCGGGAGGGGAGUGAAAUAGAACCUGAAACCGUGUGCCUACAACCGAUCGGAGCACGUUAAAGUGUGACGAUGUGCUGUUUGUAGAACGAGCCAGCGAGUUACGCUAUGUAGCAAGGUUAAGUACUUAAGGUAUGGAGCCGAAGGGAAACCGAGUCUGAAAAGGGCGAAAAGUUGCAUGGUGUAGACCCGAAACCGGGUGACCUAUCCAUGGACAGGUUGAAGCGAGAGUAAAAUCUCGUGGAGGACCGAACCACGUUGGUGUUGAAAAACCAUGGGAUGAGCUGUGGAUAGCGGAGAAAUUCCAAUCGAACUCGGAGAUAGCUGGUUCUCCCCGAAAUAGCUUUAGGGCUAGCGUCGUGUAAUUGAGUAAUGGAGGUAGAGCACUGAAUGGGCUAGGGGCUAUAGUAGUUACCGAACCCUAUCAAACUCCGAAUGCCAUAUACUUGUAUCACGGCAGUCAGACUGC